ACCCAGACUUGCUGGACAGAUGGUAU
This 26-nucleotide non-coding RNA is filed under the name Rattus norvegicus (Norway rat). Lineage: Eukaryota; Metazoa; Chordata; Mammalia; Rodentia; Muridae. The record is from RNAcentral.